UACGUAGGGGGCAAGCGUUGUCCGGAAUCAUUGGGCGUAAAGCGCGUGUAGGCGGCCUUGUAAGUCCGUUCUGAAAGCCCGGGGCUCAACCCCGGGAGGCGGAUGGAUACCGCAAGGCUCGAGUACGGAAGAGGCGAGUGGAAUUCCCGGUGUAGCGGUGAAAUGCGCAGAUAUCGGGAGGAACACCAAUGGCGAAGGCAGCUCGCUGGGACGUUACUGACGCUGAGACGCGAAAGCGUGGGGAGCAAACAGG
This 253-nucleotide ribosomal RNA is filed under the name uncultured bacterium. RNAcentral's name for it is "partial 16S ribosomal RNA". It matches the Rfam family "Bacterial small subunit ribosomal RNA", at positions 524 to 776 of the family's 1533-position model. The record is from RNAcentral.